RNAcentral lists this long non-coding RNA (980 nucleotides) under Marmota monax (woodchuck). Lineage: Eukaryota; Metazoa; Chordata; Mammalia; Rodentia; Sciuridae. The record is from RNAcentral.
CUUUAAGACAGAGAAAAUACUUUAUACCAAUAGGCAAUGAGUUUUUAGACAAACUGCCAAAGCAUAGGGAAUGAAAGUCAAGAUAGACAAAUGGGAUUAUGUCAAACUAAAAAUCAGCAGAGUGAUGGGUUAGACUAUGGAACGGGAGAAGACAUCUGUGAACUAUUCAUCCAAUAAGGGACUGCUAUCCAGAAUACACAAGGAACUCCCCAAACUGAACAUACACAAAACAAUCCAGUUUAAAAAUGGAAUGAGAAACUCAACAGACACUUCUCAAAAGAAAACAAAUAAAUGGUCAACCAGCACAUAGAACAUGGUCAAACUCACUCAUCAGGUAAUGCAAAUAAACACCAGAAUAAUAUAUCAUCUCAUACCAGUUAGAAUGGCUAUCAUCAAAAAGACAAAAAAAAAAAAAAAAUACAAGCUGGGAAGGAUGUGGAGAAAAGGGAAUAAUGUGGUGGCAAAUUAGCUCAGACAUUAUGGAAAGCAGUAUGGAGAUUCUUCAAAGAGCUGAAAACAGACUCCCAUAGGUUCCAAUGAUACUACUACUGGGCAUCCAAAGGACAUGACAUCUUAACAAAAAGACACUGGGAUUUUCACGGUUAUGGCAGCACAACUCGCAACAGCUAAAACAUGGAGUCCACCCAGAUGCCUAUCAAAGAAUGAAUGGAUAAACAAAACGUAGUGUACACACACACAAUAGAAUGCUACUCAGCCAUAGUGAGGACUGAAAUCUGCCAUUUGCAGCAACACAGAUAAAAGUAGAGGUCAUUGCGUUAAGUGAAAGAAGCCAGGCACAGAAAGACAAAUACUCCAUGUUCUCACUCCUCUGAGGAAACUCAAGAAGUCGACCUCGUAGAAGAAUGGAAGGGCUGUCACCAGACACUGGGAAGGGCAGUGGGGAGGAGACGGGAAGUUCAGCAGGGGACACCAGAAUGCAGACUGCAGGGACCACCUCUGGUUAUUCUUUAGUAACUACA